Molecule: ribosomal RNA, 742 nt
Filed under: uncultured bacterium
Lineage: Bacteria
Description: bacterial SSU rRNA
Rfam family: Bacterial small subunit ribosomal RNA
Source: RNAcentral
GCGAGCGGCGGAUGGGUGAGUAACACGUGGGGAACCUGCCCCUAAGUCUGGGAUACCAUUUGGAAACAGGUGCUAAUACCGGAUAAUAAAGCAGAUCGCAUGAUCAGCUUUUGAAAGGCGGCGUAAGCUGUCGCUAAGGGAUGGCCCCGCGGUGCAUUAGCUAGUUGGUAAGGUAACGGCUUACCAAGGCGACGAUGCAUAGCCGAGUUGAGAGACUGAUCGGCCACAUUGGGACUGAGACACGGCCCAAACUCCUACGGGAGGCAGCAGUAGGGAAUCUUCCACAAUGGACGCAAGUCUGAUGGAGCAACGCCGCGUGAGUGAAGAAGGUUUUCGGAUCGUAAAGCUCUGUUGUUGGUGAAGAAGGAUAGAGGUAGUAACUGGCCUUUAUUUGACGGUAAUCAACCAGAAAGUCACGGCUAACUACGUGCCAGCAGCCGCGGUAAUACGUAGGUGGCAAGCGUUGUCCGGAUUUAUUGGGCGUAAAGCGAGCGCAGGCGGAAAAAUAAGUCUAAUGUGAAAGCCCUCGGCUUAACCGAGGAACUGCAUCGGAAACUGUUUUUCUUGAGUGCAGAAGAGGAGAGUGGAACUCCAUGUGUAGCGGUGGAAUGCGUAGAUAUAUGGAAGAACACCAGUGGCGAAGGCGGCUCUCUGGUCUGCAACUGACGCUGAGGCUCGAAAGCAUGGGUAGCGAACAGGAUUAGAUACCCUGGUAGUCCAUGCCGUAAACGAUGAGUGCUAA